UGGGGAAUUUUGGACAAUGGGCGAAAGCCUGAUCCAGCAAUGCCGCGUGUGUGAAGAAGGCCUUCGGGUUGUAAAGCAUUUUUUGUCCGGAAAGAAAUCCUUGGCUCUAAUACAGUCGGGGGAUGACGGUACCGGAAGAAUAAGCACCGGCUAACUACGUGCCAGCAGCCGCGGUAAUACGUAGGGUGCAAGCGUUAAUCGGAAUUACUGGGCGUAAAGCGUGCGCAGGCGGUUUGCUAAGACCGAUGUGAAAUCCCCGGGCUCAACCUGGGAACUGCAUUGGUGACUGGCAGGCUAGAGUAUGGCAGAGGGGGGUAGAAUUCCACGUGUAGCAGUGAAAUGCGUAGAGAUGUGGAGGAAUACCGAUGGCGAAGGCAGCCCCCUGGGCCAAUACUGACGCUCAUGCACGAAAGCGUGGGGAGCAAAACAGGAUUAGGAUACCCUGGUAGUCCACGCCCUAAACGAUGUCAACUAGUUGUUGGGGAUUCAUUUCCUUAGUAACGUAGCUAACGCGUGAAGUUGACCGCCUGGGGGAGUACGGUCGCAAGAUUAAAACUCAAAUGAAUUGACGGGGUCAUAGCUGUUUCCU
RNAcentral lists this ribosomal RNA (589 nucleotides) under uncultured bacterium. RNAcentral describes it as "partial 16S ribosomal RNA". It matches the Rfam family "Bacterial small subunit ribosomal RNA", at positions 355 to 1375 of the family's 1533-position model. The record is from RNAcentral.